CACAAACGUCCUCAAAGGUUGUCCAUCAAAUGUUCAUCAAAGAUUGACAAAUCACAAAACAUUAUGCAGCACAAACAUGAAACAAAAAUAAAUAUGAAUAAUGGAUAAACUGUCAAUAUAUAAACAGCUCAGACAUUUUCAGAUAGCCAUGAUAAUCAACGGGGCUCUACGACGUGCCAGCGUAGUGAAACGUAACCUUCCACGGAGUUGCAUUAUGUUCAGAAAACGCAUAGAGAGCCCAGAGAUGAUGAUCCCUUUUAUACUAUGGCUACAAUUUAGCAUAUUUGCAGCUGGAAUUUGUAGGAAGAAAUGUGUUUAUUAGCUAGCUACUGUAGUUGCCUUGGUAACCAACCAAACAGACUUGCUAGUUUAUCUAACCAAAACAUCAGUCAUAGCUUUCUAUUAUGAAAAUUAAAUUCAACAUUGCCAAACGUAGAACAUGUGAGAAUGAACUAUUGCUAUUGAGUUCUACCUUGCAAAUAUACAGUGUUUUAUUUACAGUUCAAACUUAUAUAUCAGGAAAUAAUGGAGCUCUAGAAUGCCCUUCAAACCAAUCAGAAACGAGUAUUCAACGAUGUCAUGGUAUGAACUGGAUUAAACACAUACAAAAUUGUAAGUAUAUAAUAAGAAGUUAUUUUAUUGUAAUUGUUGAAGUUAUAAUUGUCCUACUUAGUGCUGAGCCAGGGAGGGUAAAGGGAGAACACAGACCAGGGAGGAAGGACACAGACCAGGGAGGGAGAACACAGACCAGGGAGGGAGGAUAGAGGGAGAACACAGACCAGGGAGGGAGGAUAGAGGGAGAACACAGACCAGGGAGGAAGGACACAGACCAGGGAGGAAGGACACAGACCAGGGAGGGAGGAUAGAGGGAGAACACAGACCAGGGAGGAAGGACACAGACCAGGGAGUGAGGAUAGAGGGAGUACACAUUUUUUCUGAUGUUAUAUCCCUGAGCCUCUGAAUAAUAAACAUGUUAAAUAACUGAUCAUAUUAGAAAGUGUUGAACAAUCCCUGAUGGUUGUCAUUGUAAAGGAUUCAUCUACUGCUACUACUUGACAUUAAG
Molecule: long non-coding RNA, 1063 nt
Organism: Oncorhynchus tshawytscha (Chinook salmon)
Lineage: Eukaryota; Metazoa; Chordata; Actinopteri; Salmoniformes; Salmonidae
Source: Ensembl